UGGGGUUUUGGGAUUUUGGUUUUUUUUGCUUGUUUUGACUUUCUGUUUUUGUUUUGUUUUGUUUGUUUUGAGAGGGGGAGGGAGAGAGAGAUAACAUGAAGUUCAGUGGGUGGGUAAGGGGUAAGGAGGUAGGAGGGAUCUAGGAGAACUAGAAAAGAGGAAAACAUGAUCAAAAUACAUUGUAUGAGAAAAUAAAUUUAAAAAGAUUUGGAAGAAUACAGCAGUAAGUUAAAAGAAACAUACGGUGCUUACGGUGUGUCAGCCAUGCUGCAGGGGAGGGCCACAUGUCCAGGAACAUAAGGCCAGAAAAAUUGGACUGGGAGAAUGUGAGAGAAAAGAACACAAAGUUGGCAGGGUAAAGAUGAUUUGAGAGGAGUCGGGGGAGCCUCGAAUCUGAUCAAAACCCAAUUGUACACAACUUCGCAAAGACCUGACUUUAAAAUGAGCAGCUAAUUAACUGAAAUGACCAGUCUCCCUGAGUGCUUCGCUCAGUAACUCAUCAGUUUCACGGCAUUAUGGGGACAAGCAGGACUCACAUCGCAUAUGGUCAUCUGGGGAUUGUCGAGGCGAUUACUUGUCUGUGCAUGCUUGUCCAUGAUGCUUAGAACUCUAUGAGGAAAAGGAGGCAGAAAGGAUCUAAGAGCCAGAGGGGAAGGAUGGCUCCAAGAAAACCGUCUUCCAGACACAACAGGAACAACAUUGUGUCACGAUCGCUGUCAUAAGUGCAGCUGCCCACACUGCUUCCCUCUAUUCAUCCAUCACCUCUGCCUCUUACAGUGUUGAUGAACGAAAAAUGUGGCUAUUUACACAGUGGAAUAGUAUUCAGCAGUUAAAAAAGAUGAAAUUAGGAAGCUCGCAGGUAAAGGGUACAGCUGAAGAUAUCAUUCCGAGUUAAGUAUCCCUGACAAACGACCCAUGUUUUCUUUCAUUUGUUAGCUUUGAAUCCUCAGAUAUAUACAUUUCUUUUGGAAUACCCACAGAGGUCAGGAAACCAGAAAGAGAUGUGGGGGUGGGGCAGCCUUCAAGGGAGGAGAGAUAGAUAGCUACUUUGUUUUUAAAGAGAGGUUCCGUUUCCUUUCUCACUCUUUUUUACUUCAGUGGUUACAAGCAAGACUCUACUUAACCCAGCCAGGUAAUCUUAAUCCUGGGUACAGUUAGAUGCCAGCAGUGUGGAGACUGAUCCUUCCCUCACGUUUCACACACCUUCCCUUUGCUACCCUGCAAGUGCUUUAAAGACCAUGAAAAUCAAACACUAAACAAAUCCAAUCCAGUGGCCGGAAUAAAAGCAUGCUUAAAGGAAUUCAGGCUGUGUGUGUAAUAAAAAUCAGUGGAGCCCUUUCCAGAAGUAUGAUAGAUUGGAUAAUACUUCCACUGGCUUCACUCGAAACCUUAAGGGAAGUUUCUUUGGUGCAUUCACUGAAGAAAAAUCCAUACUUAACGGCUUUUGCUUAGCAAGGAGGAAAAACACACCAAGUUGCCUAUGCUUACAGGAAACAAGAGGUGCUGUGGGCAAAUGUGGGAAGGCCCAAUGCAAAUUUAGCAGGCCAAAUAAUAACCGGGUAAGUCUGACUUUUACCAGCACAGCCUCGUGGUCUGAGGAUGUGGCAGGCCCUGAUUGGCUGACCUAUGAAUGACCUUCUUAGACUGUAAACAAGGUCAAAAGUGACUUCACUGGGCUGAAUGAAUGAGUCAUUAAAAGUAGUUAUCCCGCCCACACUUAGAAUUGAACAACUUCUUAGGGGCAAUUAAAUCUCUCUCUCUGUCUCUCUAUCUGUCUCUCUAUCUGUCUCUCUGCCUGUCUCUCUGUCUCUCUCUGUCUCUGUCUCUCUCUCUCUUUCUGAGUUUCCUUGUUCUAACUCCUGUCACUGUGACAAGGACUUAGAAUUUAAGAGACAAUGACCUGAACCGGCUGAAAGCCACUUAAUCUUAAAGAACCCAGACCAAGCCUUCUUUGACUCCAAGGCAAACAGGUUCUGCCUUGAAGAAAAUGGUAAAGCUUGAAUGGCUUUGAACCACAUCCAAGCUUACAAUGGUUUUCUCUAGUGUGUAGCAAAACCUGAACAACAAAAUCGGGCUGUGUGUAAUAGCUCAACAGUUAAGGACAUGGAUUUGGCACUCACUUGCAGGAAGGUGGGCUCAGCUCUGCUACUCUCUGGUCUUGUAACUCAGGCAAGGUUUGUGUGCAUCUUUCCUGUCUUGCUCCUACUCUGCCAAACAAGGCUAUGGUAGUUUGAAUGAGAUUUACCUCUAUAGGUUCAUACAUUUAAAUACUUAGUCUGCAUUGGUGGGCCUAUUUGGGAAGGAUUAGGAAGUUUAGUCCAGAUUGAGGAGUUGUGUUACUGGGGACAGACUUCAAGGUUUCAAAACACAGCAUUCCCAGAGUUCCCUCCCUGCCCCUUACUUGUGGAUCAAGUCAUGAACUUGCUCCCACGUCUUUACUCCAUCAUCAUGGACUUUAACCUGUUGCAAGAUAUUUGAUCACAUUGUGAACCCCAAGAUUGUGUUAUUUACUGAAAAAAAAAAAAAGCUGUUUCUUGUUGUGGUGUGGCUUAGCCUUAGCACACACCUUUAAUCCCUCUGGCUGGAAUAAAAACACACCCUUGGUACACCCCUUUAAUGCCAAACAAUGAAGGCUAAGUUAGUUUGUAGAAGGAAGUACCCAUGUCUGAAAGUGAUGUCUAAUUGAGUGGCAGACAAAUCAGCGAAAGAUUUGACAGAGUAGGAUAUGCCGAACUCUCACAAAGAGAGGAAAGGGAGGCCACUUAAGAGAGCAGUGCAUUUACCUGGAUAGUUAUAGAGAUAGGUUGCAGAGAAAUGAGCCGGAGAAUGAGAAGGAACCAGAAGAUUAGAACAGAUUGCUAGAGUCGGUCUGAGGCCAAGCAGAGCAGUUCAGGAGAGGCCGGUAGAGAAAAGCCAGAUGGAAUCAGUCAGUUUGGAGAGGCGUUUGAGCCAGAAGGGCUCAGCUGACUUGCCAGUCACAGCUCAGAAAGAACUAGGAAAGCAGGAAUGGGCGUAUUCAGUAGCAAGUCUCAGAGGCUGAAACCAUUCUAGGUCUAGAUUCGAUUGUACAGGGAGGGAGGAUGGAAGCUUCCAGGACUAGGCCUAGGUUAGCAGACAGAGGCAGUUAAGUCUUCCAAGGCAACAAUUUCAUCUGAGGAAAUAAAUGUUACUUCUACACUAACCCUCUGGAACUGCAAGGGAUCCUUUUAUAAAGGUUGCUUUGGUCCUGGUGUUUUGUCUCAGCAAUAGAAAAGUAAGACAAAGGAAUAUGAGAGUUAUGCAGGUUAAGGUGAAGUAACAUAGCAUGUAAAUUGUUACACUGAGUCUGCGUAGGACUAAGGCUCAGGAAAUAUGAGCCAUCAUCAUCAUUAUUGUUUCAACUGCCAAAUAGUAGUUUUCAUUUAGAUUUCUGAAAUCUUUGGGACUGAGGGAAUCUUGAAUGUGAGCUGCUCCUCCACAGCCUAAUUCAACUUAGUGACUUAAUCCAUACCCUGAUGUUUAAAAAUAUUUUUAUGAAUAAUAGAAUACACAUUAUUUUAUUAUUCAUGUGUUUACUCACUGAAGUGGAAAGCCACUUCUCACACAAAGAACUUAGCUUUUUAAGUGAACACUAAACUCUAGUCAUAGCAUAGGGAUGUAGGCCGUUGAGGGUAUUUAGCGUGCAUGGAACCUUGGGUUCUGCACCAGAGGUUGGAAUGAAGUAGCUAUAAUCUGGUCACAGUUAUAACCCAUGCACGCUAAAUACAUAUCUUCAUACAUAGUAAGGAAAAGAACAAAACCAAAGCCAGACAAAGUAUACAUCUGAGGCCGUGGCUAUUAUGAUGAUUAGUGUUAACUGUCAGUCUGAGGAGGCUUCUCUGUGAGGGGUUAUUCAUGCCUUCAAAGGAUUAGGUUAACUGAGAUAGAAAGACUGACACUAAAAGUGGACCAUGCCAUUCUCUGAGCUUGAGCUCAGAUAGGGAAAAGCUGGCUGAACAGAGGUGUUCCAAUCCCUCGACUUCCUGAUUAUGGAUGCGAGGUAGCCAGCUGCUUCAAGUUCCUAACCUUGACUUGCUGACAUAGCAGACCAUGCCCUGGAGCUGUGAACUAAAAUAUACCCUCCUCCCUUAAGUCAUUUUUGUCAAGGUAUUUUAUCACAACAACAGAAAAAGAAGCCAGGAUGACCUCAUAAGCCAUGAAUGGUAUGUGUUCUCCAUAGUCUGUGUCUGGAACAAGCAACUGAGGCCAGUUUCCAUCCUGCUGGCAGACAAUGAACCAGGUCUUAAUUAAUUUACACUCUUUGAUUAGAACUUUGACAUUGCUAUAAAAUUAUAAAAAAGGCUGUCUUUUAUUCCGCACUAGAUCCGGCACCAUAGUGCCCCAAGAUGUCUGGUAGAAAUCUUCAUCUCAGUCAGCAAAGCCUCUCACUAACUUUGCUCCAUCCCAUAUCACACUGUUGAUGGCUACUCUCCGAGCCUGGCAACAAUCUCUCUACCCAUCUAGUUCCCAAGGCAGGUUGCCACCAUGCCAGACAUACACAUCCCAAUUCCGUGGCAGGCUAGCAUGUCUAGCCACUACAUACUCUCUUGAACUUUUGAAUUACCUUGAAUUACCACAUGAAACAACACACAACACAGUAACCUCUGAUCCAAUUGAUAAUAUAUAAUUUGCUCAUCUAGACAUGCAAAGCCCUGUACACAUCCAUCCCUUAAGAAUAUUCAUAACAACCUGUAAAUGUGCAGAGAGGAAUCCUAACAUCUGCCUCCAUGUCCUCUCGGUUGCUUCUCCUUCUCUUGUUCCAGUCUUCUCCCCUCUCUAAAACUUUCCUCCCGCCCAUCCUUCCUUCUCAUCCAAUGACAGGCCUCGUUCUAUCUUGUACCUGCCUUUACCUGUAUAAUGACAUCAUCCUACACUUAGACAUAGUCCUGAUUGCUCAGGCUUCUUUGACUCUCUCACAGCCUUCCAUCCUCACCACAUCUGUCAGAGAACAUGGUCUGUAUUCUCCUCCAGGAGGACUAUCUCUUUUAGGACGUAGGCACGUCAAAACUUCGGGUAUGUCAGAAUCUUUCGAAAGCUGUAGGCAUCGAACAGCUGGGGACUACCCACACCCACAGUCUGACUGCUUUCAACCCUUCACAGUAGGGAGGUCAUGUCUCUGUAAAUCAGGAGAGAUUUCCAUCCACUGCCUCACAGCCCAUGAGAAAUAUUUCCCAUCACAUCAGCUGGCCUUUGAGCUGCUCUGUGCGCAGAAUAAAGAGGGAAGCCAGGGGAACAGAAAUUUAGCUGCCAACCUCUGUUGCAGACAAGAUUUAUCCCUUGGAAACUGUAGGCUAUCGCUGCAGAGAUCCACCUCUUAAUGGUUUUCCGCUCAGCAGAAACUGUUGUCAGGGAGACUGAAGCUGUGCCUGUCUUGCAGAGCUAUCUUGCUGCUUUCUCACUUAGACGCCAGAGAGACUUGUAGUAGGUGACUUGUUUCCACAUCCUAUUUACCCGGCUCUAUGCCACUAAUAUGCCACCAAGCAUAAAAUGCUCUGAUCUGAUUCACUAAUGGUAGAUUCACAUAGUGGACUGACUGACUCUCAAGGGGAAGGCAGACGCGGCUCCCUGGGAGCUGAUUGUUGUCCAAAAUGCUGAGCUGUAUCACGGUCCUCUGCCUUCUUCUCUGAAUCCACGUGGUACUCAUUGUCCCCCCUGCCCCCUACUUAGUCGGCCCUGGAUUAUGGAUGGCCUCAUAUUGUUCCCUAAUUGUUCCUCCACCAGAGAAGUGAUGGAGUUUCCUGAAGAUGGAGUUCUUUUUCCUCACGUAACUUCUAGCAUUGUAACCACUCCCCACAAAGCCUCUAGCUAGUAAUUUCCCUUUCUUCAUGGAGUGAACUUCAAAUCAACUAGAUAAAGAGUAAAAAAGAAUUCCACCCUGCCCCCAGUGAAACACUAACAGAAAAAGAAAUAUCAUCUGGACAUGAAAUUGAGCCUUACCAGUUGGAGAUUAGGAAAAGGUAUCCCCAGAGCUGAGGGAUUCCUUCAAACCCUUCACCAAUCAUCAAAUGAGUCCUCACUCCGGAGGAUCUCCUCUAUUCUGUUCAACAGAAACAGGAAAUCUUUGGUAUACUAAAAACAAAAAUGUUCUUUAAUUCUUAAAGUCAGCAUCAGGAAAAUCCCAACUAUAAUGAAAACCAGUUGCUUGAAAUAAAAUCUAGACAUCAGCUAGGACCAUAUUCUCCUCAUCAUAGUAAAUAACCAUCUUGAAAUAUUUACAGAAAGCCAUAUAUGAAAAAGAAAAGAGGGAGAGGAAGAAAAAGGAGGAGGAGGAAAAGGAGAAGGAAGAGGAGGAAGAUGAGGAAGAGGAGGAGGAGGAAGAGGAGCAGGAAAAGGAAAGAGGGAAAGAGGAAGGAAAGGAAGGAAGGAAGGAAGGAAGGAAGGAAGGGAGGGAACAGCCAAACAUUUUGAAAAGAGCAAAAGCUAUCCCACCAUGAAUGUCUCCUCGAGCAAACUGUGUGAGCCCUUCUUCAGACAAGCUACAUCCCCAACAGCCCUGACUUGAUAUUCCCUAAAGAUGAAGACAACUCUGUGUCUCUUGUGACUAUGUCAAGUUCUCACUGACAAGAUUUUAAUGUUCAGUGCACCCUUUGAAAAUAGGGGGAAAUGGUUUCUUUGGGAAACUUAUGACAAACAGAAAAGACAAAAUCUACCACCACAUGAACAUCCUGAGCCUCCUUUAAGUACUCUAUGUUCACACAGGAUUCAUGGACAGACAGGCCACCAGGAAUGCCACCCCUGGGCCUGCCUUCAGGUAGAACCAGGGUCAAGAGAGUGAGGUUCUGUACUAUUUAUUUUUAGUCUUCAGAGAAGAAUUCUAUCACCACCUCUUUGUUCAUGUUUUAUCAACGACUUCCUUACACAAUUACUCUACCUACCGAAUGAUUUGUGCUUCAGCAAGCUAGGCCCCUAUCAUUCUGGCCCAUUUCCCCUCACUUCUCAGGCAGGCCCUUGGCUGCUUGACUGGCCUGGGAAGACUAUGGAUCAUCCGCCAGGCAUGGCCAUCCCAUCAUGGCCAGUGCAGUCCAUUACAUGACCAUAUUCUGUUUCUUUACAGCAUGCACUGUGCAGUUUUGUUGAUUCAUUUCCAAUCUUUGAAUGAGACUGUAAGCCCCAUAGAUCAUGUCUCUCUUUCCCAGCAUCCUGUCUACAGCGUCUGUGUGGACAUAUAGCCAGCAGCAUUCAACUCAGCAAGAGAAGGCAGGAGUAAGAAGGGACAGAUGGAAGAGAAAAUGUGGAAAAAGCAGGAAGUCUCGAAGACAGAAGGAGGAGCCACCAAGAGUGCCCAUCCUCAGUCUGUCCCUGCUCUUGGCUGCCUUCCUUCCCCUCUAUAUCCUUGGUUCCAGUCCCACCAUGAGGCGCAGACUCACAGAACAACCUGGGAAAACAUAGCUAACAUAACUGACCUCUUGCUUUAAUGCAGAGCUUCCUUUGCUUCUGCUAAAAUCCUCAGUUAAAUGAAGAAAGGGCCCUGUGUGGUACCUUAGGAAAGAGGGAGACUUCACUCUGGGACUUGGAUGGGGCCAGUGUCCUGCUUCAGCUCCAUUCCCAGUUUUCCUCCAGCUAAAGCUCUGUUCAUUGAGCAGGACUAAAAUCUUCCUGGUUGCUUCAACCUAGAACUUCAGCCCUGACUUUCCUCUGGACCCUGAUUGUAUCUCAUGGUUCUUCGGGGGAAAUCCCACAGGCAGCUUAUUUGGGGUGUUCUUUGGUCCAAAUUGAGUUGGUCCCCACCUUCUCCCUACACCAAUUUACACAGGCCAUAUCUAGGAAUUGGCUGCCCUUGUGUCAAGGCUCCUCUUGCUAAGGCUAGCAUUAUUUUGAGGAGAGGUGGAUCAAGUCAUGUGUCAUACGAAUUGACUUUUCAUUGAAUAACUCUGGUAGGAAGGCAGCUUAACAUUCAUUGUUACAAGCAUAAAGUCCUGUAAGCUCGCCCAGUGGGGUGAGCACUGUUAUUCCCAUUCUGUGGGCAUGUUACUUGUUUCCUUCUGCAGAUGAUAAGGAUUAGAAGUUAGGUGUGGCUCCAACCACAAAAUUCCUACUGGGAAUUUGCCACCGAGACAGAGAGAAAUCAAGUGGAAGGAACUCAAAUGUUUAUCAUCCUGUCAAAAACAAGAACUGUUCCUCCAUGAACAAAUCACAAACUCUCCAGCCUACUAGUGAGUGUAGUAGGACCAUUGUAGCAAGAUUGGGUGGCUUAAACCCAGAGACAGUCUCACAGUUAUGGAGGGUCAAAGUCCAAAAUCAGUUUAUCUGUGUUUAGGCUCCUUCUGAGAGCUGCAAGGGAAAGAUUUACUUCAGACCUUUCUCCUUGGUUUAUAGGUGACCAUCUCCAAGGUCACAUCAUGCCUACUUGUCUAUGUCUAUACUUCCCUUUUUUUUAACUAAAGGUCAGCAUUUCCAGGAAAAUUGAGCACUCCAGAGGCAGAGGCAGAGGAGACAUUUUUCUGAGUUUGAGGCCAGCCUGGUCUAUGUAAUAAGUUCUAGGCCAGCCAAGCUUUCUUUUCCUUGUCAAAAGAAAGUUUGCUCAAGGACAUUUUUAAGAGAGUUUAAAAGAAAAAUCUCACGGCAGCUGUAUGUCAGGUGCUGUCUAGAAAAGAGAGAAGAGAAAGAGAAAGGGCCAGCCCCAUUUGAGUUAAGCUACUAUAGAGGGCAGCCAACUGAUUAGAAGAAAGAGAACUGAGAGAAAGAGUUCAGAUAAAGUAUUAGGAAACCAUGCUUAGAACAAAGAAGAAGAAAGGGAAACAUACUUUUCUGAGUAAUUAAAACAGUAGGUAGACCUUGCUGCCUGAGGUAGGCAGGAGAGCUAUCCCUGCCCCUCACCCGGGCAGCACAGUAGAGCUGACUGUUGUGGUGGGGUUGCAGGUGAGCUAGCGAAAGGGUAUGAGCAUGGGAGAGCUAUGGCCUUCUCAUCAGCCAAGAUGUGGCAUGGGUGAGGAAGAGAUGCUCCCUCUCUCCUCACUGCCCUGGCAGUGUGAGAGCUGGCCAUGCCCCCUGCCAGCUGCAGCACUGGGUGAGCUAGCCAGGGUGCUGCUGGAGAGCUCACCAUGAUGCUGUGGGCACAGAAAGCUGCUGGGCUGACCAACUCAGUUACCUCGCAGGCCUUUGGGCUUUGAGUUGGCCCACCUCAACAUCUACCCCAUCUGUGAUCUCUUGGAGUGUGUGAAAGAGCUGGUAGAUAAAUGCUACAGGAUCUCAUGACACAGGGCAACAACAGGAUACCUGAGAAGAGUCUCCAUGAAGAGCCAGUAUUGAUAGAGUAGCAGAAACCAGAGGCCUCAAACCAGACCAAUGGUGACUCAUUGCAAUGAACAUUUGCAAGUAAGGAUGCAUGGACAAAAGGGUACACUGUGUGACACACCAUAGCUUCCACAACAAGAUUUUUUUUUUGUUGCUGUUUUAUUUUUAUUCUGGGGGAGAUGAAUGGGAUUGGGGUACAUGAUGUAAAAUUCACAAAGAAUCAAUAAAAAGUUUAAGAGAAUUAUGCACCUCAUUCCAUUUUUUUUCUUUUACGUUUUCCUAGUUUGGAAAUAUAUAUUCAGAAAAAUACGUAGACUAUACAACUAAUAUCUAGAAAGGAAAAUCCAACAUUCAUACUUGAGUGGAGACGUGUGCACCUGUGCAGUUCCCCUCAUAAACUUAUCCUUCCCAGAAUUCCAUACUCCUGAAUUAACACUUCAUUGCCAGUAUUUCUACUUGUAAAGAGUGUGAGUUGGCUUCAUGUGACUAUUGAAAUCUGUGUCCUUGUGUUGAAAAUCCCAAAGCUACCGAAAAGUAGCCUGGUGGUACAAUGACCUUUUCCACACUCUUCGACUAGAUUCCCAAUUUUAGUGUUUUACUGUGUUUUCUUUGUGUCUUAAUCUCUGCAUAUGUAUAUGUGAAAUGUAUGUACAUGUACAUAUGUGUGCAAAUGUUUGCUGAAUUGUUGAAAUAAAUGUGAAGCCCUGGGGGGUGGGGGAGAAGAAGUGGGCAGACAUAUGAAGCCCCUGUUAAAGUUCCCUAAGUGACUGCUCUAGAGAGACAGGCGUCACCCCCAAAGAUGUGAGAAGAAAGACCCCCAACCCAAAUCAUCAUGGCCAAUUUAAUUGAAGCUAGCAAUUAAUUAGAGUAAGUUUUUUUUAUUCAUGUACAGGAGCUGUCUCUCCCUAAAAUUGGGAUUAAAGAGAUCAGCACUGGAUGUGAGGAAGACAAGGUUUUUAUAGCUCAGGGAUAGGGGACUUCUGAAUGGGGGAUUUGGCAGGCAAAAUAGGCAGGGUUACAGGAGCAGACCAUAAGCAUAGCAAGAGAGUCCUAAAGACCUUCUGAAACAUGGUUGCAAGGUUGUAACAAGGGAGUUGUAAUUAAGUAGUUGUAAAAACCUUUUAAAACAAAGGAAGGAUUGUAACAUUCUUAUGAUGGUUAUAGUAAUUUUUUUGAAACAAAGACAUAGUUGCCUCUCCUGGUACAGGCAGUACAAAACCAUUUGUAAUUACGGUUACAGAUGGGGCUUAGCCCAAUUCCUGAGAACAGAGGUUUAAUCAUCAGUGGGACAGAGCCUAGGCUGUCUUUACUGUAUGAUGGCUUUUAAGCCCAUGAUGGAGGCAGGCUGGUUUAUUAUACAAACGGUGGGAAAGAAGAGCAUCUUUCUCAUUAAAGGGAUAAUUAUUUCUCCUAUCUCUGAAACCGGCUUAAGCAGAUCUGACUACCUGAAGGGCCAUUCUUUAGCCUAACUGAAAUGUUAGGUCUCUCCUAGGCCAUAAAUUUCAUUUUCUGACCAAAAGGAAAUAGAGUUCCCUUGGCGGGCCUUUCCUGUGAGUUUGACAUCAGUCAAUGAUAAUUAAAUUAAAGAGCAGUGAGAAGAGUUUAGCACUCACCCUCAUCUUAUCUGAACCCGAUUACCUCUGAGUGAGCUCAUAUGACAGGUACUCAGUGUCAACAUACCAGUCGUGUUCCGACACAGACGAACUCCAACUCUAUGUCCAAGCUGCAGCAGUCCGCACAUGGGUCCUCCUCAGUGCACCUCCUCACAUUCUUAGACUCAGGGACAGAGAGUCAAGAAGCAAAAAGGUGUGGGAAUCCACCCUCCCUGCUGCUUCCCUGGACUGGUUAUAGGGUUCACAGAGAGGUCUGCUGCCUUCUACAGCACUGUGGGGGGUGGGGGUGGGGAGAGCUACUGUCCUCUCCCCUUUCCAUCUCUCCACCAAGUUCUCCUGCCAUCCAGUCACCCCUACCUCCUGCCUUACUGCCCCAGCCUGACCAGUCUUCACAGAGUAGCCUGCUGAAGGCAGAAUCCUAGCGGCUGGGUCAGCCUCUUUAUGCUGCUAUGGAGCCUCCACAUGCUUUCCUGUGCCCUGUUCUGCGAGCUAAACUUAAACAUGGUUCAGGAAAUCACUCCCCACCAGGUAUGAACAGGAGGAAUAUCAACAAGGAGGCUACAGCAUACCAAUUAGGGGAUCUUGAUUUUUGAUCUCUAUAACUGAUAAACAAAUUUCAAUACUUCGUCAAAGGCCUAAUCUGCGACACAGAGAAAGAUGGCUGAUGCCAGCUUCCAUAGUUAUCAUGUGUUUUACACUGUGAGUGGGUCAAUGUCUUCUUCUAUCACUGAUUAUAUGCCUUUGUGGAUAGAAUUUUUAACCUCUCUGAACUUUAGCAUCUUUGAAUUUAAAAUAUUCAAAGUUACAGACACUCUCUCAAUUCAUAAUUAUGGUAAUAGGCAUUAAAAAGUAAGGUAAUGAUGGCCAGUAUGGUAGCUCACACCUUUAGGCCCAGCACUUGAGAGACAGAAAUCAUAAGAUUCCUGUGAGUUCCUGGACAACCAGGGAUAGACCCUGUGUCAGAAAACAAAUGCAAAAGGAAAAAAAAGAAGCAAGAUGGUUAAUAAAGUUAUAUGCAGAAGAAAACAAUUAGCAAGCAUUCCAAAUGCCGUAGUUAAAAAUACAUUAAACAAAGCAGGUCGUUGCUGUCCUCACCAUAACUUUCGCAUGGAACUUACCAGAAUAGCAAAGCUAUCUCCUGCUGCUCGCUAACUUGCUCCAGUUGUGUUGAGAAUAGCAAUUAUACUUUUUUGUUUACACAUUUUGUUUGGAAAUGUUUACAUCCGUGCAGUGAAACUAACUUUUAGAGAAAAGGAGUGUCAUUUGGUUUCGAUGACACCAUAAAGGGGAAGCAUAGAAAUCUGUUGAUGAAAUCUUCAGAAUGUUAGCAGAAUGGGCAGCUUCCAGUGAUACCAUCCCAACAGUGACUCCAGGCUAUGUACUGUAUAGAAAUGCCACCUUCUCUGAUUAGAAAUGGCCCUUGUCCUAGACCCGUGUGUAGAGCCACUUCUUGUCUAGAGCUACAUAGACGCCUCCGUGUGUGACAGAGGGCUUCUGUCUCUAUCUUUUCCCUCACAGCAGAUCCCACAGCUCCUCUUUGUUGAUCACAAUUCUCAUCCUGCAGGCCCUCUCUGGGGUCCUGUUAGAAGUGAGGCUGGGAUCCCAAAAAGGACCCCAGAAUCCGGUGUCUUGGGCAAGAAAGUUUUAUUUAAUUCUGCAGAAGUUUUCAAAGCCCUAACAAGUUCUGGGAAGCAAGCACACCAGCGGGGAGUCCCUCAGAGGGUUACUCCCAACAUGAGGGUUCUGGGCUUACUCUACUGGUCAAAAUUUGGUCUCAGAUUCUCAUACAGUUGGCGAAUUCACAUGGAGAAAUGUGGUCUGGUAAUAAUGUACUUACUGAGGUUUGGAGACGUUUGGUGUUUUGGAAGGACGUCAAAACUCGGGAGAAUCAGAUUUCAUGUGACGGGAACUAGAAACUUAUGUGGGGCAGUCACCAAACGGCAUUUCCUCAAAGCAGAGUCAUCCGGGCUCUGCUAAUCUUUGUGUUUCUCCCAGGUCUUAGGCUCGUUAAUAAAAGGAUUUAGAAAUGGAUUCAGCAGAAAGCGCAAGAACAACUUUGUUAGAGUUUGCAAAACAACAGGGCACAGAAGCUGCCAGGAGUCGGGGCAGGAAGCUGGAGAGAGGAAGACGUGGAGCUGGAAGGGACAGGGGGCAACGGAGAUCGGAGAUCAGCGAAGCAGCCACAUGACAGACAAACAGCAGCUGGGUGGGAAUAUGACUGGGGAAUUUUCGAGUAUCAGGGAAGGCCUACCCAGACUUUGGUCAGAGAUAAGAGAAGAAAAAGUUAUGUGUUACUGACUGAGAAGAGCAGACCAGCUCUGCGGUGUUACAUUAUGGAAGAUCUGCCAGCAAUUGCGUGGAUUUGGGGAGCCCCGGACUACAAACCCAGAGGUGGCACCACCUACAAUGGGCUGGGCCCUCCCCCAUCAGUCACUAAUGAAGAAACUGCUCUACAAGGCUGGGCCACAGCUUGACCUUCAGAAGCAUUUUCUCAGUUGAAGGUCCCUCCUUUCAGAUAACUAUAGUUUGUGUCAAGCCAAUGUAAAUCUAGCCUGCACACCUCCUUUGGUUACAGGUUUGGGGACACCAUUCCUUUGAGCCAAUAUGCUGUCAAACAGCAGAAGAAAUAUUUCACAUGGUUGUCCUGGCACGGCUCUCCCCCACAGUUUAGACUCACUGUCACCGUGCAGAAAAUGAAAAUGUCAACUAAAUUGGAACCAGACAUCCCAUGGCUAGAUUUAUAAGUCAAUAGAUACUUGUGAGCAUAUUAAACAAAAAAUAAUACAUUUAUCAGCCUAUUAAACAAAAACA
Long non-coding RNA from Rattus norvegicus (Norway rat), 13676 nucleotides. RefSeq lists it as uncharacterized. Lineage: Eukaryota; Metazoa; Chordata; Mammalia; Rodentia; Muridae. The record is from RefSeq and is a predicted model, not a curated record.